This 478-nucleotide ribosomal RNA is filed under the name uncultured bacterium. Its description in RNAcentral is "partial 16S ribosomal RNA". It matches the Rfam family "Bacterial small subunit ribosomal RNA", at positions 28 to 523 of the family's 1533-position model. The record is from RNAcentral.
GACGAACGCUGGCGGCGUGCUUAACACAUGCAAGUCGAACGGUAAGGCCCUUCGGGGUACACGAGUGGCGAACGGGUGAGUAACACGUGGGUGAUCUGCCCUGCACUUCGGGAUAAGCCUGGGAAACCGGGUCUAAUACCGGAUAGGACUCCGGACUGCAUGGUCUGGGGUGGAGAGCUUUUGCGGUGUGGGAUGGGCCCGCGGCCUAUCAGCUUGUUGGUGGGGUGAUGGCCUACCAAGGCGACGACGGGUAGCCGGCCUGAGAGGGUGACCGGCCACACUGGGACUGAGAUACGGCCCAGACUCCUACGGGAGGCAGCAGUGGGGAAUAUUGCACAAUGGGCGCAAGCCUGAUGCAGCGACGCCGCGUGAGGGAUGACGGCCUUCGGGUUGUAAACCUCUUUCAGCAUCGACGAAGCGAAAGUGACGGUAGGUGCAGAAGAAGGACCGGCCAACUACGUGCCAGCCGCCGCUGUAA